AACUACGUGAAAAUAAAAAGGUGAUAG
Molecule: small RNA, 27 nt
Filed under: Bombyx mori (domestic silkworm)
Lineage: Eukaryota; Metazoa; Arthropoda; Insecta; Lepidoptera; Bombycidae
Description: ovarian small RNA-4247
Source: RNAcentral